This 76-nucleotide transfer RNA is filed under the name Candidatus Microgenomates bacterium. RNAcentral's name for it is "tRNA-His". It matches the Rfam family "tRNA". Rfam says of the family: Transfer RNA (tRNA) molecules are approximately 80 nucleotides in length. Their secondary structure includes four short double-helical elements and three loops (D, anti-codon, and T loops). Lineage: Bacteria; Candidatus Microgenomatota. The record is from RNAcentral.
GUGGUCAUAGCUCAAUGGUUAGAGCGCCUGCCUGUGGAGCAGGAGGUUGCCGGUUCGACUCCGGUUGGCCACCCCA